AACUGACAUCCUUUCUUAACAGUUACAAUUCUAGUUUUGCAUCAGUCGUUUUAUUCUUACAAAUUUCAUCAGUAGUUCUUAGUGUUUUUAUUGCUAAAUAAUGGCAAGUUUGGUACUUCGUUUUUUCUUGUUGUCUAUCGUUACUUGUAACUUGCUGGCAGUAGGUCUUGGUAAAACGUGCGAAAGAGACCAAGAUUGUAACCCGGACCAGUGUUGCGCCGGUGUUAUAGGGGGAAACGCAUGUGUAAACAAGGGUGAUCCUGGAUCGGAAUGUCGACCAGAAAAUACAUAUCAUCAGUUUUUUUGUCCUUGCAAACUCGAAGGCACAUGCAAGGAGCCAUCAUCUGAAGUUGUAUUUGCAAGGCAACGUCCCACAUGUAGCCAUCCCAAUGGAACAGUCGAUAGCUUUUUCCAUUGAUGAUUAUUGUAUUAAUAAGAUUAUCAAAUGAAGAUGCUAUAUUUAUUAUUCCAUACGUAUUGUGUUGUUAAUUGAAUUGAAUGUAAAGUUGAAUUAGAA
Tetranychus urticae (two-spotted spider mite) is the source of this 517-nucleotide non-coding RNA. The record is from RefSeq and is a predicted model, not a curated record. Lineage: Eukaryota; Metazoa; Arthropoda; Arachnida; Trombidiformes; Tetranychidae.